UGUAAUUAUCAGCAUUUCCUUCGUGAUAAACAUAACGAGCUUUACUUGCAGCAAUAUAUAAGGGAGUCUUUUUAUCCCCUUAAGUAUUUACAUUAAUGUCUGCAUUAUUUUCCAAUAGAAACUGGACCAUAUCUAUAUUCCCAUCCUCAACAGCUUGAUGUAAAGAAUUAUAUCCAUACCUAUUGUGGAUAUUGAUGCUUGCACCUCCGUCCUUUAGGUAUUUUGUUAUAUUAAAACAACUAUAUUUAGCGGCUACAUCCAGUAAUAUACCUGUGCUAAAUUUAUGAUCUAAUGAAAACUUACCAUCUUUCCACAAUUCAUACUCUUCCUUAUAUAAUAUAUACUAAUAUAGUGUCAUAUUUUGGGUAUAGCUCAACCAAU
Cinara cedri is the source of this 381-nucleotide non-coding RNA. The record is from the annotation of a GenBank genome assembly. Lineage: Eukaryota; Metazoa; Arthropoda; Insecta; Hemiptera; Aphididae.